This 32848-nucleotide long non-coding RNA is filed under the name Capsicum annuum. Its description in RNAcentral is "long non-coding RNA (CANN_LNC022171)". Lineage: Eukaryota; Viridiplantae; Streptophyta; Magnoliopsida; Solanales; Solanaceae. The record is from RNAcentral.
GAAAGUAAAGCUACAAGUUAAAUUCAAAAAAACGAUAUAAAAAGAUAAAAUGGGGGUUUUGGAGAUUAGCAAAUAAUUUUUGGUCACUUUAAUUUCAGUGUUUGUCAAUCAAGAUUUUAUGAAAUAACCAGGAUUAUGUUCACUAGGGCUUACGGUACAUGAUAGAUGCUAAAAUUUACUCAAGACUCUCACGGUGGUUAGGAUCACAAGCUAUCUUUAUCGAUGAUAUGCUCAAAUGUCUCUGGACCUAUUCAAGCGUCUAAUUUCCUAAUCCUCUCGGACUUAAGGAAUCGCUAUGCACUGUCCAGAUUUUACCUCAGGUAAAUCAACCUUGUUACAGCGCUGAUUAUUAAAUGAAGCUUUUUCAAGUCCCUGUUGAUAAUUCACUUCUUACUAUUUAUGAUUUUUUUUCUCAAGCAAACCAAAGUAGGUACGCCUACUGUUUACAACCACUAGACAUAAAUUAUAAUCUCAGAAUUACCAAGAAAUCCUAACACCUAUUAAAUCUAGAGUAUUUAACACCUUAUCAUGACCUAACCCUAGAUCCCAUGAUCCCGGUUACAGGUGUUUAGCCACUCAUGAUGCAAGAAACAAGUAGGCAAAUUGAAUUCAUAACUAAAAGGAUUAACUUACAAUGAUGAAGAAAAUCAAAAGUAUACUUUGAUUUGAAUCACAGGGCAAAACUCCAAAAUAUUAGUUUUUGAGAGAGAGAUAGAAAUAUCGUAUAUUGUAUCUUGUAGGAUAUGUCCAAUCCUUAAUGAUCGAAUGAAUAAAAAAAAAACUAAAACAAGGCUUUAAAUAGUUAACCCUAAAUAAGGAAAUAAAAUUAAAGUUCAGACUUUCUUCGAAAUAGAUAACGGCGCUCGUGACGGCCUAUCAGGAGUUUGACGGCCUAUCACGAACGUCGUCAGCUUCUCUGCAAGUUUAGCUUCUGCUGCCUAAGGUUGACGAUGACGUUACUCCUUAUCAUCAUCUUGACGACGUGUCAUGAAUGUCAUCACAAAACUUCCUACAACUUUCAUCUUCUGUUUAAGGUUGACGGCAUCCUUGACAGCCUAUCACCAGGCUGACGACGUGUUAUGGAUAUCGUCAGCCACAGUUUGUUCUUUAUUUGCUUCCGAUUUCAUGCUUUUUGCUUCCUUUAUUUGUGGUUCCCCUUCUUCUCUAUUUAUACUGGAAAAUCAAAGUAAACUAAUCAAAAACGACUAAAGUUGCUCAAGACUUUGCAAUUAUUUAGAGUUAAAAGUUGUAAAUGUAUUAGCAUGGGCUCACACAUCAACACCCUCAACUUAAACAAUUGGUUGUCCUCAAGCAACCAGAACAUAACCAAGAGUAUACAAAGUACAAGUUGGCAGCUAACUACUCAUAUCAGUUCAGAAUAUAUGCACCAUCUCCAAGGUCAGUCAAAUUAAGAGAAACUAUGUGUAUUAUUGAAAACACCCAUGCAACUCACGAGGAUCAAGAUAUGGCAAGAAUUUUAGCAAUAACAACCCAGCACAUACCCAAAUCACACUAUCCGAUUAAGGCAGUGAUUAGCAACAUACCUAGUGUGCCCUCACAACAAAGAAAUCCCUUUUUCACUCAUGUCAGAAUUUACAUACGUAAACACAGGGAUAAACACAAAACUCACUCUCAGAAAGAAGUUCCAACAUUUCGUACCAAAUGCCAUAGGCUUGCCCCUAUAAUCAGUACCCAAGUUAUCAGACAGGUCAGUUAGGAUCACUAUAGGGCUUUUCUAAAGCUUGUAACGUAGGUUAGGGGCUGGUAUGAUAUUCAUGGAUAUUUAAGAGUGACUAUGCCUCCUUGAAACUACACUAAACUCUUGGGGUUUCAACUCCCAACCUUCUUUUCUUCCUCUCUUUUAUUUAUCACACAUGCUCAAGAUGGAUGCGGUCUUUUCAAUUAUCACAUUAUCUUUUUAUCAUCUUUUACACUACUUUCUCAUUUCUUAUUCUUUUCUUUUAUUCUUCCUCUCUUCAUACUCAUUUUGUAUCACGCACCCCUAUAAUAGCCACCCUCAACUUAGGCGGUUUGCCUAAGUCAAGGUGCAUAGUGUCCAAGGAGGACCAGGGCCAAAACAGGUUCAUUAUGAUGUAAACGGGAAGGUGAGAGGUAUCGUAGAAAGAAAUAGGCUAAUUAGGCUCAAAACAGGAAUCAAGAGAUAUUAUGCACAUAGGGAAGAUCAUUUUGGCUAAAGUGGGAUAAAAUAAAAAAAAGGGCAUAUGAUCCUUUCCUAACUCCUAUCCUAUGACCAUGACAAGACUAACAGGGCAAGUUCUAGAUUCAACACACAACGGGAACUGAGUAAGACCUUACACACACAAGGCACUCAAGUAUCUCGCAUAUCACUACUUAUCCAGUUCAUGUACUUGUUUAACAAAGGUUAUUCAGUUGCCAGACUAAUGCCACAAAAAGAUACAUCGUGGUCACAAAUGGAUGCAAUUCACAUAGUAAUAUAUCAGACCAAUGGAGAGGUGCUCAAAAAUCACAAAAACGAGUUAACUGCCUUAGUUACUUAUAUUUCUCCUAGUUAACUACAACACAUCACAAAACAAGCGUAAUACGCCUAAACAUGCCGGAUCUAUUAGGAACAAUACUCUAGGGAAAAGAGGCACGGCAACAAAAACUCCAGGAGGACAUCAACACCUACAAGUAGCCCCAACACCCUCAACUUAAAACCAUGCAAUGUCCUCAAUGCGUCAAACUAAAACAAGAGAGUUAGAAACAUACCUGUGGAACCAUGGGUGCGAUGUCAAUCACAUAAUACGAAUACAAACAACAAAAUACCUUGGGUUGCCUCCCAAGAAGCGCCUAAUUUAGUGUCGCGGCAUGACAACAUCCAGUCAUCUUUUAUUCCUCUACUUUGAAGAUUUAAAUUGUCGGCCCAUCUUUUUAUCUUUACAUCUUUUAGGUCCAUUGGGCAAAUGUGAGGGCAUGAUAAGGAAUGUUCUAUCACGCCACUUCGAAGACUUGAACCGCUUGCUCAAUUUUGCAUCGAACUUUCGUGUGGGCUCAUUAGGCAACGAUAAGGAUCUUAAAAAGCUACUAAAUGGAUAUCGAUUUUUAAGCUUCUUGGCCUUCAAGACUGGGGUUGUAGUAUACCCUUUUAGAAAGAUAAACUCCAAAAUAUAAGAAUUUUCCUCCUCAUUUUCAAAAUUCAUCAUUUGCUCGGGUGGUUCGACUUUCAUCACAUCCACCAAGCAUAAUGUUGAAAAGUGGUUUGAAUGAGGACUGACUCUCAAUUCUGGAGUAGCGUCUCUAUUAGUAUCUUUACCCCAAAAUGGACUAGAGUCUUCACAAAGAUUGUUCUUGAUUUCUUCUUUUAAUUUUAGUACCAUUUCCUCAUCUUUGGCAUCUUCGUUCAUAAAUGGUUUGGUUGGUUGGGAAAUCUCCAAUGGAAGAUCAACAUCAAGCACAUCAUCAAUAUAGGAUUCUUGCUCCUCAUCUUCGCACUCUCUCAUUAUGUUAAAUGAUUCUACAGGCAAGAUAUCAUCUAAACAUAAUAUAAAAGAAUAUUUUGAAUAAUUGACCUCUAUAUCCAUCUCCUCAUGAAUAAUCGGCAUCAUGUCUUCACGCAUAUCACAUACGAUAUCAUAUGUUUCUUUCUGGAGAUCCAACAUUCGUUGAAACAUAGCUUCAAUGCCACUCUUACCGGUGCUUCGUUCUUUUUUUCUUGAUCAUAAGACCUAUUAAACUCAUAAGAAGAACUAGAAUUUGGGUUAGCGCAAUAGGGGGAGGGGGCAUUUGGGCAAUCACUCCAAUGUCCAUCUCGACCACCACAUAAAGAACAAUCAUACUCCUGGUAGGAUGGAGAUGGUACACACAUCUCUCCCUGGAGAGCAUAUCUACAAUCUUUCCAAAAGUGAGGUCCAUCACAAUAUGGACAUGGAUCAUCAAGAUAAGAUUUUCAACCACCAAGCUCAUGUUCAUUCCACGAUGUCAUAGUAAUAAGUAAACUAAAAUAAAAAUCUACCUAACACAAGAAAUAAAAGAAAACUAAAAAAAAAUAUUUACAAGUUUGAAUUCAAGCUAGUAGGCUAAAAUUCCAAACCAACUCAAUACGCCAAAUUGUUCCCCGGUAACGGCGCCAUUUUUGAUACGCUCAAAUUACACUCUUGAAUGGGUGUAAGCGAUCAUUGUCAAUAUAAAACUCAACUAGGUUAGGGUCGAAUCCCACAGGGAACAAUAUGAGUGGCGAUUAAACUAGUUUGAAACUAAAGCUACAAGUUAAAUUCAAACAAACGAUAUAAAAAGAUAAAAUGGGGGUUUUAGAGAUUAGCAAAUAAUUUUUGGUCACUUUAAUUUCAGUGUUUGUUAAUCAAGAUUUUAUGAAAUAAUCAGGAUUAUGUUCACUAGGGCUUACGGUACAUGACAGAUGCUAAAAUUUACUCAAGACUCUCACGGUAGUUAGGAUCACAAGCUAUCUUUAUCGAUGAUAUGCUUAAAUGUCUCUAGACCUAUUCAAGAGUCUAAUUUCCUAAUUCUCUCGGACUUAGGGAAUCGCUAUGCAUUGUCCAGAUUUUACCUUAGGUAAAUCAACCUUGUUAUAGCGUUGAUUAUUAAAUGAAGUUUUUUCGAGUCCCUGUUGAUAAUUCACUUCUUACUAUUUAUGAUUUUUUUCUCAAGAAAACCAAAGUAGGUACGCCUACUGUUUGCAACAAACAGACGUAAAUUAUAAUCUCAGAAUUACCAAGAAAUCCUAACACCUAUUAAAUCUUAAGUAUUUAACACCUUAUCAUGACCUAACCCUAGAUCCCAUGAUCCAGGUUACAGGUGUUUAGCCACUCAUGAUACAAGAAACAAGUAUGCAAAUUGAAUUCAUAACUGAAAGGAUUAACUUACAAUGAUGAAGAAAAUCAAAAGUCUACUUUGAAUUGAAUCACAGUGCAAAACUCCAAAAUAUUAGUUUUUGAGAGAGAGAGAGAGAAAUAUCGUAUAUUGUAUCUUGUAGGAUAUGUCCAAUCCUUAAUGAUCGAAUGAAUAAAAAAAACUAAAACAAGGCUUUAAAUAGUUAACCCUAAAUAAGAAAAUAAAAUUAAAGUUCAGAUUUUCUUCAGAAUAGAUGACGGCGCUCGUGAUGGCCUAUCAAGAGUUAGACGACCUAUCACGGACGUCGUCAGUUUCUCUGCAAGUUUAGCUUCUGCUGCCUAAAGUUGACGACGACGGUGAUGCCUUAUCAUCACCUUGACGGUGUGUAAUGAAUGUCGUCACAAAACUUUCUGCAACUUUCAUCUUCUGUUUAAGGUUGACGGCAUCCUUGACAGCCUAUCACCAGGCUGACGACGUGUCAUGGAUGUCGUCAGCCACACUUUGUUCUUUAUUUUCUUUUGAUUUCAUGUUUUUUGCUUCCUUUAUUUGUGGUUCCCCUUCUACUCUACUUAUACUGCAAAAUCAAAGUAAACUAAUCAAAAAACGACUAAAGUUACUCAAGACUUUGCAAUUAUUUAGAAAGCUGUAAAUGUGUUAGCAUGGGCUCACACAUCAACCUACACUGGGGUCCACUAACAAGGCUGUUCGGGGGAGUAUAUGGUCGAUAGUGGCUGUGAGAGCUUUCCACCCACUCCAUACACCUGACAGCUCCCCUUCCUAAAAUAAGGGUGACUCAAUUAGAGGUCAUGUACACACGUGCACUACGAAUUUGUUGCGAAAAAAAUGACUCGGGUUAUGCACAUAAUGCCAGAUAUAAAGUGGUAACACAUAAUAAAAACUAUAAACAUGCAACACAUAGGUAAUCAACAAUGAUAAAAUAAAUACAAACGAUAACACAAACAAUGUUUAUACACACAUAAUUUCAAACUAUGCCGAUACAACUCCAAAAGUAAGCUCGGAUUCUGAAAAUUUCUCCAGCAGAGUCGUCAAUGCUGUCACCCCCUUUUUUAACCAAAAAGAUGGAUUUUAAUGUUUGAAAAGGUUUUAUUAUCUAAGUGACAAAAGAUUUAAAAUUUAUUUCAAAAAAAAGAUUAUUUACAUUUUUUAUUCAGAGUCGCCACUUGACAUAAGCCGGUGUGCCAAGUCACCUUUGAAAAAUUCUUUUCAAAACUUUGACUCUUUAAAACUGGUUUGCUAACAGAGAUUCCAAGUAAUGAAUUCUGUUGAUCGAGGCGAAGGUGUUAGGCACCCCUCGAUCCCGUGGUUCGGCCACGGUCUCUUGGUGAAUUAUAUCGGCUCGUAAGACACUAUGAAUAUAUAAACCCAUAAAAACACAUAAAAGAAUCAAACAAACACAUCAAACACAAUCCAAAACCACAAUAAUAACGUUCAGUCCAAUUAUACAGUCCAAAAUAGUCCUAUUCUAAACUAGUCCUAAACUAAGCUCCACCCGACGCCUCGGGCCUUCGUCACGAACAUCUUUCAGGUACAAAAUACUUCGGGGCAUUCUCCGACCAGAUGAUACAUUUGAUCAAGCACGAUAAACUAGAAAACAUUCAACACACAUUCCACAUUCAAACAUUCAACAAAACACUUAUUCCUAAAUUUUUCCUACCCGAACCUAUACUUGUCUAUUCAUUUCAACAUGUCAUAAUUCUAUCACGUUCCAACGACAAUCAUGCUUAUUCCGAAUUAAACAAAACAACAAUAAAUCAAAAUUGAUCUAUGUUCACCCUUUUUAUCAAUUUCACAAUUCUACCCCAUCUAACUUCAUUUUUUAUCAAUCACACUAUCAAAACUACUCAAAUUCGUUUCACAUAUCACCAAAAUCACAUCAUCAAGCACAUAAUCAUAACAUUAACAAAAUCCAACAAUCAUAAUCACCCCACACAUAAUCACAACAUCGAUGCCAAAUUAAAAGAAAUAAGGAGUAAGAGUUAUAGAGAUGGACCUUCCGAAUGCUCUCAAUUGAUUAAGAAGAGAAUAAAAGCGGUCCUGAAACCUAGAAGAAUACCACAAUCUCAAUCCCGAACCAGUAAUUGGACUGGUUUAAAACUGUGAUGAAAUUGAAUUUUGAUUCAAACCAAGGAAACCUUGAAGAGUCAAUGAAUACCCGAAACCAAAACUCAAAAAAAAAAUGAGAAUCCGUAUGACAAUUUCGACGAGACUUUAAUGGAGUCGGAGUAAACUGUCGACUUUUCUGACUUGUCGACUGGACUGAUGUUUUCAGGCUGGAUUUCACCAGAGAAACCAAAAAAAAUGAGAAAAGUGUCUGGGGAUUUCAAUAUUGGGACAAAUUUAAGCUCGGGAUACUUGAACUUGACUAGAAAAUACCGUUUCCGGCGACCCCUGGUGUUUUUUGGUCAGAUUCCGGUGCUAAUUUUGGUGGGAUUGCGCCGAUUUCGUUGUUUAUUUGCCAAAUCUCUCAAAAUCCUUUCAUUCUUUCGAUUCUCUCCCUCUCUCUGCUUUGCUCUCUCUCUUCGUUACUCUCUCUUUCUCUCCGUUACUCUCUUUGUGUGUGUGAGUAUAUGUGUAUGUCUUUAUUCACUGGUUGUGUUGUGUGUGUGUAAUGUAUUGUAGUAUGUGUUAGUGGGUGUGUAUUGAAUAAAUGGAGGAGUGUGUAGGUGUCCAUUAAUGGUGGAGAGAUAGUUUGUGAGUAUAUUCUUGAAAGUGUUUUCUUUUUUGAGAAAGAAGAUGAUGAGUGUUUUCAAUGAAAAUUUCCUCUUCUUUUUGGCCCUCUGUGUCUAUGUGUAUAUCCUCUCCUUUCUUUGUGAAAAGAAACGUGGGGGUGGGGGGGGGGGGUUAAAGGAUAAGAGUGGGGGUGAGAUGGGGGUAGGAGUGGUGAGGUGGAUGAGAUAAGGUUUGUUAGGAUAAGGAAAUAUCAAGGAUUUGAUUUGUUACGAAUUUAUUAAUAUUUUAUUAUUUUUUUCUAUUUUUAUGGGGUAUAAUCGCAUGGAUGAAGGUGUACGAUAACGUGAGGUGAAAAUGGAUGAAUUGGGUUUUGGCAGGGACAAAAUUAGGUGUCUGCUAUACCAGCUAGGUUGCUGCCCGGAGGACCAAACCUGACUGCUCGGACAAGCUUGGUAUACUGUAUUCCCUUAUCAGCAGGCGGUAUAGUAGCAUUGCAAUUAUUCCACCAGUACGGGUCUUCUACUCUAAUCCUCGAUAGAUAGAAAAAUUACACAACCCGUAGAAGUAUCAUGCGCCAAACAUCUACUACCUAGAAAGUAAUUAAGACAAGCAUUUACAGCAUGUCUUUAAAUUAAAGAGUUUCAGUACCCUAGACCUAGAUUAUUAAAUGUGCCAUACACUUCUGACUCAUGGAAUCUUUGACUUUCCGAUGAAUCAAAGGAGGUCUACCAUGUCCAUUUCAGACUGAGCCCUGUAUUGUAAUGUUUGCAUGAAAUCUAGAAGACUUCAAGCAAAAAUAAGUUCGCAUAUGCCUAAGGGCUCAGCAUCUAAACUUCAAUCAAAAACUUACUAGGCUAAAGAACUUCAAGAAUUACAUGCACAAAGUUAAAAUAAACUCACGAGCAAUAAAUCAUAUGCAACAUAACUAACUAGUUGGAUAAUGAAGGUUUUUUGACUCGCAUGCUCUUCCUUUCUUUCUUUCUCAACCAUUUUCCUUUCAUUUUUGACACAUUAAACAAUCCACUCACGUGCAGGAGAGAUGCAACUCGCAUUCUACUUUUAGUUUUUGCUCUCAAGAGCCUUCUCCCAACUUUGGUCUCACGGAUGACUCCUCACAAGUACCCCCAACACAAUUAUUUGACCAUUUAUCAAGUAAAACAAGGCUCUCUUUGUAAUAAUUAACAUAAUGCGAAUUGUGACACCAACCAUUUAUAAAGUUACCUAUGUCAUUCUCUUUAAAAUCGUCAACUACAUGCUCAACUGAAACCAAUAGUCCACAGUUCUCUUUUCAUAAGAUUUUACCAUCUCUCCUUAUAGCCAUUAGAAAUCCCAAGCUCAUUUCGACCAAACCUUCCAUUAAUAUAAGGUGUCCAGAAGAUUUCAGUACGAAGAGGAAAAGUUCGUGCAAAGUGAUAAGAUUGGAUGAUGAACUGCUUCACCCAUGAGUUUGGUGCACCAUACUCUCUCAUUAUCCAAAUAUCAAUGGGUUUACUUUUGUCAUAAUUAUUAUCAACCAAACAAAGAGAUCCCUCUAACACAAAAAGGAACAUUUCGUCAUAACGUGGUCGUGACUCAUUGAUUAAACUACUCGGCAAUAUCAAUUCUGAGAAUUUCUCGUCAUGCAUGUCGAAAAAAACAAUCACACCCCGAAGUCCAAGUGAUCCUUCUACCCAACAAGAAACAAUCCAAUGAGAAGAUCCAUUUACAUAUGCAUGUGGUGUACUUGCAAAGAAUUUAUAAGGUAGAGAGACAUGACUAAUAUCUUCCCAAACACCAGUACUUAACUUAUAAACAUCAACAUGAGGUGGAAACGAAUGAAGAGUGUGCAGUACUCUUACCACCUUAUAGUCAUUAGUAACAGGAUCAUACCCAAACCCUAGCAUAUAACCAAAGAUUUCACCGAGUAUGUCAAUUGUAAAAAUUGGUUCUGGGAGUUUAAAAGAUUUUCUGAUGGAUGGGUUCAAAAAAUAGAAAUGGUUCCAGUCAUGCGACAGUUCGGCAGCAGCAAGGCACAAAAUCCCAUUACAACUACCCACAAUAUUAAAACAAUCGCUACCUUCACUGCACUUAAAUGGUGAAUCAAACUGGGCAAACUCAUUCAAAUAUUCAUCGUAACACAACAUUUGAUAUAAUUCAUUUUGGGGAUUUAUAGAGUAAGAUCAAACCAAGAUGUGAUCGUCUCUGUUUCGGUUGAGAUGCGUGGAGAUAAAAUUAGCGCUAGUAACAAGAGAGUACCAAGUCUUACAAACACUUGUGCAUUGAAGAAUUGACUUUUUGGCAAAUAAUCCGAUAUUUUUCUCCGAUGGCGGAUCUGGAUAUCCCUGUUCUUCUGGAAUUUAUUCUUUUCCUUUCUCCUUGAACCCUAAAAUUUGCUUCUAAUGGGGUGCUUCGUUUCCUUUUAUUCAUAUGUUUUUGGUAAAAGACAUCCUUCAAUUAUACUUUAAACAUAAACUAUAUCCUUCUACUAUUAUAAUGACCAGAAAACAUCCCUCAAUUAUUCUAAAAAUGAUAAGAUUCAUCCUUCCGUUAGAUUUUAUAAGGAAACUAACGGCUGAACCUCUGAUUACCAAAGCAGACCUCAUAUCAAACACCGUUAAGUUUUCAAAAUCCGCUAAACGUAGAUAAAAAAUGAUAAUCUUGAUCCAAAUUCAACAAGCCCAUUUUAUAAACCUAAAGACCUAAGCAAAAUCCUUGUUAGUGUACAGCUUACAUGGGAUGGGUUGGUAAAACUUAAUAGAUAGUACUAAAUUAAUGAUGAAUUUUAAAGAACUCAAGCAAAUCCAAAAAGGAAAACAAUUCCAUGAUUUUAAAACUACUUCCACAGCUACAACAACCAAGAUUUAGAUGAGAGUACACAAAUCAGGGAAUAUUAUAUUGGAAUAGUGAAGUAGCAGUUACAUAACUUUUCAUAGGCAUUCAACAACAACAACAAAUCCAGUAUACUCACAAUGGCGUCUGAAAGGGUAGAGUAUACGACAGUCCUUACCACAACCUCGAAUGUGAGGUAGAGAGGUUGUUUUCCAUAGACCCCCGGCUCAAGACAAAAUGCAGACCAGAUUUAGAUGUAAUAAGGGUACAAAAAACAACAGCAGUAACAAAACAAUAGAUAAUAAGAGUUAAUAACUCAAAUGGUUACUCAACUAUAAACUUUUAUUCCAAAAAGUAACUCAAUUUUAUUAUUUACCUCAAAAGUCACUCAACUAUGGACUUUUAUACUAGAAAGUCACUUAUCUUUGAUCUUUAUUUAAAAGACACUCAACUAUCACCUUUCCGUUCAACUUAUUUAAUUAUUUUUUUUAGUAAAAUUUGCUUAUGUGGAGCUUCUAUUUAAAAACAAAAUUUUGAAAAAAUAAAAAGUAUCCAUUUUAUAAAGUUUUUAUCCAUAUUCUCUUAAAUUAAUAUUUGUUCCUCCUUUUUCUCAUUUUUAUUCCCAUAACUCGAAUAUUUGCAAUAUAAUGUAGGAAAUUAACACUUAUAAUUGUACGAAAUGGAAUUACCAUCAUAUUUUAUCUUUGCAUUUUAUUUUUUAUUUUGUCUUUGAAAAGGAAAAAAAAGGAAAAACAAUAAAGAGGAACAGAAGAAUUCAAGAUGAACAAACAAGAAUAAACAAGAAUGAUACUACAAGUGAUUUACCCGAAAUAACAUGAAUAAACAAGAAUUCAAGAACUAAAAGCUACAAACGCAGUACAAACACUACCAAUAAAGAUAACACUACAAACACUACCAAUAAAGAUAACACUCCUACCUACUAUCAUGAAUGCACUCUGAUCGCUUAACUUUCAUAGGAUAUUCAACAAAUAAAUUUAAAUAUUUUAAGCUGCUAGCUUACUAUGACAUCAUAUCCAUAGGACAUGGCUCCUCUAGUUCUAUCAUAGGCUUAUUUUACUGAGUGAAGUACAAUUACUCUCUCCCAACCAAUAGUUUUAUUUAUGAGUUUUAUCUCAAGCAAAUAUUUUGAAUAUGCACUUACCCAAAUUAAGUAGCACUAAAUAAGAAGAUGCACUUACCCAAAUUAAGUAGCACUAAAUAAGAAGGGAUAUCAUCAAACAUCUUAGGUGCAUAAUCUACUUCAAAAUUCCAACAGAUAAACUGUGAAAGAGAUCAAAUGGAUGGAAGAAAACAUAUUAUAAAGAAAACUUGUCAAGCAAACCAAGAGACUAAACUUCCAACAGCAAUUUUAUACCUCAAACUUUUGGUUGAUUUGAAUUUGGUAGCGUAGACCUCUAAUGAGAGGAUUAGAGGUCACAUGGUAAAAAUGAUUUUGCAAAAUCAUAGUUAAAAGUAAAAUAUACGAAUGAACUUGUCUUGUAACGGCAUAAAUGAGCUAAACUUUAACCGAUGAUAUAGAUGAGUCAUUUCUAAUAGUUUAAAACUAGCAUAUUUGAACCCUUUUUCCUGUCUUUUUUUUUUUAAUUAUUAUUAUAUUAUUAUUAUUAUAAUAGAUUAGAAGUGUUGGUUUCAAAUGCCUGCCUGGCAUUUGAAGGGCAAAUUCGGCAUUUCAGUUAGAUUGAAGUAAUUUGAUUGGAGAAAAUGAAUAGCUUUGAAGUUGCUUUUGUAAAUUUAAAGUUUUCUUUGACUAUUUUGUACAUAGCUAAAUAAUAUACAUUAAGUUUGUGCCAUUUUGACAAGUGGAUCCAGAGUAGCUAUUGAAAUUGUGGGUUCAUUUUAAAAUAGUUAGUCCUACUUAACCUAAAACUCUUCUAAAAAAAAUCAUCAUGGGUUUAUUUUUACAAAAUCAACCUCAUUAAUUAUGAGUUGAAAAUAAAAUUAUAAAUCACAAUAAUUAAAAAUUUUAAAAAAAUAAAAUACAAUUAACUAUCAAUAUCAUAAAAAUCUGAAUAGAAAGAGUAACAUGAAUUAAUUGAAAAUUACAUAAAAAUUAUUAUAAAUUAUAAUAGUUAACAGAUUAAAAUAUCUAAAAUAAUCUAUUAUAUAUUUCAAAAAAAUAUUAAAAAAUACUAUAAAUCACAAUAAUUAACAACUUUAAAAAUUUAAAAUAUAAAAAAUAUUUGGCUGACUCUCAAAAUUAUAUUUGUGUCACUUAAAUUAAAAUGGGAGAAAAGUACUAUAAAUCUCAAUAAUUAAAAAUUAGACAUUUAUGACAUGUCUGCUUAAGUUGCUUUAAUGUAAUUUAACUAAAUAUUAUCCUUAAUGAAUUAUUAUAAGUCAUUUAAAUAUUAAAAAAUUUAUAAUAUUUAAUAAAAAUGUAAAAUAGAUAUAAAAUGAUAAAUUAACUUUUGAUAUUUUAAUUAAUUUGGCAUCCUAUAUGAGGCUCACUUAAAUUUUUUUCAUGGGUAUUUUUUAUAGUAGUUUUUUUAUAUAUCACUUUUAAUUAGUUGUAGUAAGUAAUUUAAGAUAUGUCUACUUCGUUGCUUCAAUUGUGAUUUUACUAUAUCACCCUAAUUAAUUUUUAUGACCAUAUAAGCAUUGUUCCACUUAAAUCUAAAUAGAAAAAAAUAAUUAUAAAUCUCAAUAAUUAAAAAAUUAAAUUAUUUAAAAAGAUAUAUAAUUGACUAUCAAUGUUACAAAAGUUUGGACAAGGAGACUAACAUAAAUUAUUUGAAAAUUACAUAAAAAGUAUUAUAAAUUACAAUAGUUAAAAACUUAAAAUGUUUUUAAAAAAAAUAAAUGUAUUUCAAAAGAAAAUAUAAAAAAUAUUAUAAAUCGCAAUAAUUAACAAUUUAAAAAAUUUAAUAUUCAUCAUACCUGCUUUGACAUAACUUCAUUGAUCCUUUCCCCUACCUUCAUUUUUUUGCCUCUAUUUUAAUUUGUUUGUAUUAUCUUUUCAUCUAUUAUAUAUUUUAAAAAAAACAUAAUUUUUUUUAAUAAAUCACAAUAAUUAACAACUUAAAAGAUAUAAACUAUUUGGCUAACUUUCAAAAUUAUAUCAGUGUCACUUAAAUUGAAAUAGAAGAAAAAUAUUAUAAAUCAUAAUAAAAAAAAUUAAAUUUUUUUUAGAAUAUAAUUGAUUAUCAAUGCCACAAAAGUUUGGACAAGGAGGGUAAUGUAUAUUAUUUGAAAAUUACAUAAAAAGUAUUAUAAAUUAAUAGUUAACAACUUAAAAUAUCUAAAAAAAAUUAAUUUGUUAUAUAUUCCAAAAAAAAUGCAUAAAAAAUUAUAAAUCACAAUAAUGAACAACUUAAAAAUUUUAAAAAUAUAAAAUAUUUGGUUAAAUCUCAAAAUUAUAUUAAUACCACUUAGCUUGGAAUAGAAAAGAAGUAUUACAAAUCACAAUAAUUAAAAACAUAUAUCAUUUUUAAAAUAUAAUUAACUAUCAAUACUGCAAAAAUUAGACAACGAGAGUAACAUAUAUUAUUUGAAAAUUACAUAAAAAAAUAUUAAAAAUUAUAAUAAUUAGCAGCUUAAAAUGUCUCUCAAAUCAUCUUACAUUAUUACAAUUUAGCAUCUGAUUGAUAUCAAAUUUUGAAUAUUUACUUUUUAACUUUAAAAUACUCUAAAUUCAGCAGACUGCUUUCUCCGUGAUUUUACUAUAUCACCCCUAAUUAAUUAUUGUAAGUUAUUUAUAUAUUAAAAACUAAUAAUAUUUAAUAUAAAAAAUAAAAUAUACAUUUAUGGCAUAUUUGUUUCAGCCAUUUCAAUCGUAAUUUUACUAAAUAUCAUUCUAAUUAAUUAUUAUAAGUCAUUUAAGUAUUAAAAAGUUAAUAAUAUUUAAUGAAAGGUAAAAUAGACAUAAAAUGAAAAAUUAACUUUUGAUAUUUCAAUUUAACUUGACGCCUUAUAUGAGACUCACUUAAAUUUUUUUAAGGUUUCGACAUGUCUACUUAUGUUGCUUCAACCAUGAUUUUACUAUAUCGCCCCUGAUUAAUUAUUAUAAGUUAUUUAUAUAUUAAAAAAUUAAUAAUAUUUAAUUAAAAAAUAUAAAAUAGGUAUUUAUGACAUGUUUGCUUCACCUACUUUAAUUACUAAAUAUAACCCUUAAUUAAUUAUAAUAAGUCAUUUAAGUAUUAAAAAUUAAUAAGAUUUAAUAGAAAAGAUAAGAUAGAUAUAAAAUGAUAAAUUAACUCUUGAUAUUUUAAAUGAACUUGACGUCUUAUAUGAUACCCACUUAAUUAUUUUUUUACAAGAAUUUUUUAUAGUAAUUUUGCUAAAUCAAUCCUAAUUAGUUGUCACUUAAGAUAUGUCUACUUCGCUGCUUCAAUCGUGAUUUUAUUAUAUCACCCUAAUCAAUUAUUAUGACCAUCUAAGCAUUGUGUCGCUUAAAAUCUUAAAUUAUUUAAAAAUAUAAUUGGCUAUUAAUGUCGUAAAAGUUUGGACAAGGAGAGUAAUAUACAUUAUUUGAAAAUUACAUGAGAAGUAUUAUAAAUCGUAAUAGUUAACACUUUAAAAUAUCUAAAAAAAAAUUAAUAUGUUACUUAUUUCAAAAAAAUAUAUAUGUAAAAAAUACUAUAAAUCACACUAAUUAACUAGUAAAAACGUUUAAAGGACAAAAUGGCUGCUUUGGCACAUCUUCAUUAAUCCUUUACCUUGCCUUCAUUUUUCCUCUAUUUUAAUUUAUUUGCAUUCUUUUAACCAGUUAUAUGUUUAGAAAAAACAUAAAAAUUUCUAUAAAUCACAAUAAUGAACAACUUAAAAUAUUUAAAGUAUAUAAAAUAUUUAGUUGACUCUCGAAAUUCUAUUAGUGUCACUUAAAUUGGAAUAGAAGAAAAAGUAUUAUAAAUCACAACAAUUAAAAACUUAAAUUAUUUUUAAAAUAUAAUUGACUACCAGUGCAAUAGAAGUUUUGACGAAGAGAGUAACAUAUAUUAUUUGAAAAUUACAUAAAAAGUAUUAUAAAUUAUAAUAGUUAACAGUUUAAAAUAUCUAAAAAAAAUAAUUUGUUAUAUAUUUCAAAAAAAUACGUAAAAAAUACUAUAAAUUACAGUAAUAAACAGCUUAAAAAUUUAAAAGAUAUAAAAUAUUUGGUUAACUCUCGAAAUUAUAUUAGUAUCACUGAAAUUGGAAUAGAAGAAAUGUAUUAUAAAUCACAAUAAUUAAAAACUUAAAUUAUUUUUAAAAUAUAAUUGACUAUCAAUGCCACAAAAGUUUGGACAAGGAGAAUAAUGAAUAUUAUUUGAAAAUUAUAUGAAAAAGAUUAUAAAUUACAAUAGUUAACAACUUAAAAUGUCUCCCAGCUUAUUAUGCAUUCUUAUAAUUUAGCAUCUAAUUAGUAUCAAAUUUUGAAUAUUUAUUUUUAAUUUUAAAAUACUCAAAACAUAAUCGAUGUUGGGCCCGUGUUAGCUAGUUAUUAUUAGGGUAAAAUUCAUAAAUAGCAUACUUAAAAUCAUAAUUAUGAGAUUCAUAGCAACACUUUCAUAAUUACUUAAACUAGCAACUUGUAUUUUGUAUUUGAACAAACCGUUGCUAUAAAAAGAUAUAUACAAAUCAUUUUACUGCCCAUAUUUAACUCAAAUUAGUUGAGUUAAAUAUGGUAUAAUUAGUCAUGAAUUAAAUGUGGAGAUUCCUUUUCCAUUAAAACCUCUUAAUUAACAUGAUUUUCGUUAUUUGUUACCAAUUGAAAUUAAAAUUCAAAUUUCAGUUUCACAUUAUCAUUUUCAUCCCCCAAAAAAAUCAAAAUCAAAUUCAACUGAAACUUCUUCUGUUCAAUGUCUUCAAAAAUUCAAAUUAAACCAUUGCUUUUGUUGAAGAUAUUUAAUUGUACUAUUGUUUUCUUAUAUGAAUUUCAUCAGUUGUUUGAAAUCGAUCAAAAAAAUUUCGUUCUGAAUUUUUUUCUAACCAUUACUGUUAUUUCGUUCAAAUUUUUUUGAGCCAUUAUUGAUGUUUAGUUCAAAUAUAAUGAUCAAAAUUGAUUUUCAUUAAAUUAUUUUUGAAUAUUUUGAGCCAUUAACGAUUUUUCGUUAGAGUGAUCAAAAUCAACUUUCCGUUAUGUUGUACAAUUUAACAAUUUAUUUCGUUAAAUUAUUUUUGAUCAAAAUCAAAUUCAACUGAAACUUCUUCUGUUCAAUGUCUUCAAAAAUUCAAAUUAAACCAUUGCUUUUGUUGAAGAUAUUUAAUUGUACUAUUGUUUUCUUAUAUGAAUUUCAUCAGUUGUUUGAAAUCGAUCAAAAAAAUUUCGUUCUGAAUUUUUUUCUAACCAUUACUGUUAUUUCGUUCAAAUUUUUUUGAGCCAUUAUUGAUGUUUAGUUCAAAUAUAAUGAUCAAAAUUGAUUUUCAUUAAAUUAUUUUUGAAUAUUUUGAGCCAUUAACGAUUUUUCGUUAGAGUGAUCAAAAUCAACUUUCCGUUAUGUUGUACAAUUUAACAAUUUAUUUCGUUAAAUUAUUUUUGAAUAUUUUGUAAACGAAUUUAAAAAAAAAAAGAUAAUGCAACAGUAAAUUGAACUGAUCGAACAAUAUAGUGAUCAAAAUAGAUUUUUCAAGCUACUCAAACUCAAUUUUUUUCUUUUUCACUUCUCUUUUUCUCUUUUUUAUUUUUUUUAUUUUUUUACUCUUUUAUCUCUAACUUUUAUUUUGAAAAUACAAAUAUGUAUAUCACAUAUACAUAUUCAAAAAAUAUACAAAAUAUAUAGCCAUACAGAUCUGGAUAUAUAUUUAUAGUACAAAACAUUCAUAUGUAUCUGCAUAUGUAUUUAUAAAAAUACAAAUCUCACUCAUAUGUAUAUAUAAACAUAUAAGACACAAAAUCUCUAUAACAAAAAAGGACAACUAUAUACAUAUACAUAGAGGUAAUUAAAAAAUACAUGAUACAUAUCCUAUAUGUUUAUAUAUAUAUAUAUAUAUGUGUGUGUGUGUGUGUGUGUUUUUUAUUAUAGAGAUUUUGUGUUCUAUAUGUUUAUAUAUAUGUACAUGUGAGCCAGAUAUGUACUUCUGUAAAUACAUAUGUAGAUAUAUAUGUAUAUUUUUUACCGUAAAUACAUAUGCAGAUCUGUAUGUCUAUGUAUUUUGUAUAUUUUUGACUAUGUAUAUGAGAUAUAGAUAUUUUUCUUUUAAAAAAAAAAGAGUAAAAAAAAAUUUUAAAAAAAAAGAAAAAGAAAAAGACAAAAACAAAAAAUAAAAAUCUAAAAAAAAAAAGAAGUGAAAAGGAAAAAAAAAAGAAAUAAAAACUAGAGAUAGAAGUGUAAAAGCAAAAAAGAAAAAAAGAAAAAAAUAUGAGAAAGGAAAAAAUAAGAAAACGAAAAAAUAAAGAAAAAAAUGAAAAAGGAAAAAAAAGUAGAAGAGAGAAAAUAAAGUAGAAAGAAAAAAAUGAAAAAGAAAAAGAAAUUAAAAUAAAACGAUAAAAAAAUGAAAAACUAGCAAGAAAAAAAAAGUUAGAGAUAUAAGAGAGUGAUAUUUUAAAAUUUUGAAUAUCAUGAAGAUAAUAAUCUUUAUAAUUGAGUUUGCUUUGGAAAAGGAAUAUACUAAUUUAAAUAAGAGUAAUUUAUGGGAAAGGAAAAAAAUUGAAAGAAGAAUCUAAGAGAUUUCAAACAAUAAAAGGUAAAGUAAAAAUCAGUUAAAGGAAAGAGAAAGAGAAGUGACAUAAAAAAGGAAACCUUAUACAUGGUAACUUCUCAAAGGCAGUAAGUGUGGGACCACACUUAAAAUAAUGGUAUGUUUGUUACACAAUGUAAUUUCAUUAAAGUGCUACUAUUUUUCAUAAUUCAAGUCUUAAGUAUGCUACUUCUUAUAGUUUUUCCUUAUUUUUUAUUAUUAUAGAAAGAAUGGUUUCAACAUGGCUACUUAAUUUUAACACAGGGUUCUAGUAUCUAUGUGUAAUAUAUUAAAAGUGUGAAACCCCUUAGAAAAAUGAUUUGAACUUUUUAUCCUUCAUUAAAAGACUCUCAUUUAAACAAAACUGUCUUUUCACUAUUUUAUUCAAUUUAUUAUUUAAUUAUUUUUUAUUAUAAUAAACUCCUAAAAUAUAUGGGACUCUAAAUUAUAUGGAAGGAGAAUCAAUUAAUAUUUUUCUUUAUACUGGUCAACUAGAAAAAUACUCCUAAAACAGAACUCUAUAAAGAAAAUAUUUCUAUAAAUAUUGAGAUCUAGAGAAUAAUUAUUUAUACUAAUUUAUGCACACAAUAUGAUUAGGUCUUUCAAUAACAUAUAUGCAUGCCCUUUUUUUACGUUUUUCUUUAACUGUUUUUUUUAUUCUCUCUUCUUCUUCUUCCUUUGUCUUUUAAGUUAGCUAUUGAUUCACUUGUAUUUCUUAGAUGUUAGGUAGUUGGUUUUUUAUUUUGUAAAGUAUUACCUUUUCCUUUUUUUCAAUCAAUGUAUGGAUAAAUAUAUACAAGCCAUCAGAGUUUGUAUAAUAAAUUCAAUAAAUGUUUUUAUUAUUAGUUUGUAUAAUAAUUUUAUUGUCUUAGUAUCUCUAUUAGUUUAUUAUUUUGUGGUAGUUUACACGUUGUAGACGAAUAUCGAUCGGGUUUGAGGAAUUUUUGUGUGUAAAGUUUAAAUUUAAUUGUAUUAUUUUGAUAUCAUUUUUAUCGUAUUGUUUUGUUGUAGUUUGCAGGUGAUAGAUAAAUGUCGGUCGACUUUGAAGAAUCAGCUUUGAGAAUCAUUUUCGGUAAAGGUUAAGUUUAAUUAAAUAAAUUCUCCAUCUUCACAUAUUCAAAAGAUGUUGAAUUUAAUUAUUGUAUUCAUCUUUAUUAUUUAAACAAAAUUUUUAUUUAGUGUAACGUUUGAACUCAUUAAAGUGAGGUACACGCGCGAGGCGCGUACACCUAAACUAGUAAUUAAAAACACCUAUGGUGCCAACACUGAAGGAAACAGCAAAGCAUUGGCCAAUCAUUCUUUACUAUUAGAUCCAGGAGCGGCUCAACCCUUUCGGAGAAAAGGCGGCCGCCUAUGGCCACCAAAAUUUGAGGGGCCUCAUUUUUUUUAGUAAUAAUAAUUUAUAAAUUUUAAGAAAUAUAUUAAAUACUAUUUAUAGAAAAAAGAAAUAUUUUAUAUAAAAAAUUUAGGAGUUUAAUUUAGUAACAACUUUUUAAUUCAUUGACUAUAUUAUUAAUUAAAAAACAAUUAUUAAAUACGAUUAUAUGAUUUUAAAAAUAGACUUUAUAAAAAUAACUAUUUUUUCUUAAAAACGUAAGACCUCUAUUUGAUUUUUGCCUUAGGUCAUAAAUAUGCUUGAGCCGCCCUGAUUAAAUCAACAAACUUACAAGGCAUAUGAAGAAACUAUUUUAGUCAUGUCAUUAAUUUAUCUUACAAUGAUCAUAAUUGAGGAGCAUGCAAGCUGACCAAAACCCUAUUGUUAUCCCAAAACAUAGCUAUUAGGCAACAAAUCGGUGAUCUUUUGACUUGCAUGUUCUUCCGUUCCUUCUUCUGCGGCCAUUUACCUUUCAUUUUCGACACAUAACGCAACUCACUCAUUUUCAAGAGAGAUGCAAUCCGCAUUCUAUUUUUAGUUUUUGCCUUUAGGAGCUUUUUUCUCCAUCUUCGGGAUCUCUUUUCCAUAAAUCGGAUGACUCCUUGCAAGCAUCAUCAACACAAUUAUUUAUCCAUUCAUCAGGUAAGACAAGGCUUUCUUUGUAAAAAUCAACAUAAAGCGGAUUAUAACGCCAACCAUUUGUAGAGUUACCAAUGCCAAUAUCUAUAAAUUUUUCAACUACAUGAUCAACUGAAACCAAUAAUCUGCGCUUCGCUUUCCAUAAAAUUUCACCAUUUUUCCUUAUACCCAUUGGUUUCACCAAGUAAUGAGCUACCGCAAGCUCAUCUGAAGUAGACCUUCCAUUAUAAGUUGUCCAAAAAUUGUCAUCACGGAGAGGAAUAUUUCACGUAAAGUUACGAGGACUAAUGUUGAACUCUUUCACCCGUGAAUUUGGUGCACCAUACUCUCUCAUCAUCCAAAUAUCAAUAGGUUUACUUGUGUCAUAGUUAUUAUCAACAAAAAAAAGUAAUUUGUGUGACACAAAAAGGAACAUUGCAUCACGGUGUAAUCGUACCUAAUUAGUAAAACUUCUUGGCAACGUUAUCUCUUAAGAAUGUCUCAUCAUGCAUAUCAAACAAAACAAUCAUAUUUAUCCGAGUUUGUUCUUCUAAAUCUUCCCACUUGAAAUCAAUCCAAUAUGAAGCUCCAUUCAGAGAUAUACCGGGGGAAUUAACUCUACAUUUAUUAAUUUAAUUAGUGUAAUGCAAAGAUGAAUAACUUCUACGUUACAAAGGAGAUGUGAAUACAUCUAAACAUCCAUUCUAAUAGAAUUAAGUAACAUGUGAAGUAAUGGUUCUUUAAUGGCUCUUGCAACUCCACUUUCAAAUACUAUAUAAAGGGUGUCUUUGGAGAAGAUAAAAACACACCACUUAAAGAAAGAAACAAUCUUCCUCCUUUCCUCUUCCUCUUGAAUUAUUUUGGGCAACCUCCAAACUUUCAGCCACAAGUGCACGUGUUUAGAAGUAGCUGUGGAACCUUGGGGAGCGACCGGCUAGAAGGAUUUGCACCAGAGUCGGGCCGAAAUUGCUUUCAAGGUAGUGGCUUGCGACGACACAGUGUUUGUGACAACUCUUCUACUAUUAUUAAUUUAGUUCCUAUAUCAAUAUUGUAGUACUUUUCUCAAUAGUUUGAAAGCGAUUUCGUUACAUACAAUAUUGAUAAAUGGCUAUUUCUUUGGACAAAACUUUUCCUGAUUUGUCAAAGCUAGAGCCAUUGGACGAAAAUAAUUUUAAACAUUGGUCACAAAAACUUAUGAUUUUUUUCGAAUAAUUAGAAGUUGAUUAUGUUUUGUUUAAUGAACCUCCAACUGAUAGUUCUAACAUUACUACUAGAUCUAACACUAUUGUGGUUGAUGGCAAAGCUAAAAAGAAAUUCGAAAAGGAUAACAAAACAGUUAGCGGACAUUUGUUGAACCAUAUGACUAAUCAUUUAUUUGAUUUAUUUGUUACCUAUAAAUUUGCUAAAAGAAAUAUGGGACAAUUUAGAAAAGAAAUGUGGUUUCGAUAAUGCAGGAAAGAAAAAAUAUGUUGUCGGACAAUGGAUUAAAUUUCAAAUGGUUGACAAUAAAUCAAUCAUGGAACAAGUCCACGAAUAUGAAAAUUUAACUGUUGAUGUUCUCAAUGAGGGCAUGAAAAUGUGUGAGAUUCUUCAGGCUAAUGUUCUGCUUGAAAAAAAUUUCCACCAUCCUGGAGUGAUUACAGAAAAUCAAUUGAAACAUAAGAAAAAGAAUUUAAAUCUCCAAGAACUUAUAAGUUACAUGAGAACAGAGGAGGCAAACCGUCUCAAAGUCAAGAUGGAAGCUUUGUCUCUUAAUUCUUCUAAAGCUAACCUUGUGGAAUCUUCUGGUACUAUUACAAAAGAUAGGUACGAAGAAAAACAAAAGAAUGUUCAGAAUAAGGAACAAGUGAAAAAGAAAAAUAAUUUCAACAAGCCAAAGAGUCAAAUUAAAAAAUCAAAAGGGCCUUGUUUUGUCUGCGAAAAACUUGGCCACAAGGCUGUCCAGUGUUAUCUAAGAAAAGGACAAAACUCAAAAUAGGGAGGACAAGGUGAUUCCCAAGCUCAUAUUACAGAGGGUGAUGAAGUGAUUGCUGCAGUAAUCGUCGAGGCAAAUCUGGUAGCUAACAAGACUGAUUGGGUGUUGGACACAGGCGCUUCAAGACAAUUCUGAGCUAACAAAAAAUUAUUCCAUGACUUUGAGGAAUCCACCGAUGGCGAGUGUGUCUACAUGGGUGACUCCACUACUGCUAAAGUUAUGGGUAAAGGAAAAUUUUUACUUAAAUUAACUUCUGAAAAAAUAUUAUGCCUGAACAAUGUUCCGUAUAUUCCCUCGCUCCGUAGAAACUUAGUUUCUGGAGCACUUCCAAAUAAAGUAGGCCUUAAACUUGUUUUUAAAGUUGAUAAAAUAAUUAUUUCUCGUGGAGGAAACUUUAUUGGGAAGGGAUACCUUAGUGGGGGCUUAUUUGUGCUGAACAUUGAUCAAGAGAUUGUCAAUAAUGCAAAUAUUCCUAAUUCUGCUUAUAUUGUUGAGUCUAUUAAUUUAUGGCUUGGUAGGCUAGGUCAUGUUAAUAUUGCUUCUAUUAAAAGACUUAGAAAAGUGGGAUUAAUUCCUACAGUAAAUAUUGAUGAUACUUCUAAAUGUCCUCUGUGUGUAGAAGCAAAGCAUGCCAAGAAACCUUUUAAAUAUGUUCCUAGUAGAAAGACCGGGUUGCUUGAACUAGUACAUUCAGAGUUAGCAGAUUUUAAGAACACUAUUAGUAAAUGUGGAAAGAAGUAUUACAUUACUUUUGUUGAUGAUUUUUCUAGGUAUACUAAGGUAUACCUCCUUAAGUCUAAAGAUGAGGCUGAAAGCAUGUUUUUAAAAUUCAAAACAGAAGUAAAAAAAUCAAUUAGAUAGAAAAAUCAAGAUAUUUAGAUCUGAUAGGGGUGGUGAAUAUAGUGCUAAAACUCUAGAAGAUUUUGUGAGAAAAAUAGUAUUAUUCAUGAGUUUAGUGCUCCCUAUACUCCCCAACAAAAUGGUGUAGCCGAAUGAAAGAAUAGAACACUUAAGAAAAUGAUGAAUUCCAUGCUUUUAAGCUCGAGUCUACUUAACUAUAUGUGGGGGNNNNNNNNNNNNNNNNNNNNNNAGCUGUCUUAUCUGCAUGUUAUAUUCUUAAUAGAGCCCUUCAUAAAAAGUUAGACAAGACCUCAUAUGAGUCAUGGAAAAGAUAUGCCCCUAACUUGAAAUUUUUGAAAGUGUGGGGGUGUUUGGCUAAGAUUGAUCUACCUGAUUUUAAACGAGUAAAUGUAGGUUCUAAGACCUUUGAUACUGUUUUUAUUGGUUAUUCUCAAAAUAGUGUUUCAUAUAGAUUUAUGUCAUUAAAUAAUUAUUCUAUUUGUGAAUCUAGAGAUGCAAAAUUUUUUGAGCAUGUUUUUUCUUUGAAAAAUGAUGUGCCUAGUGAUGUGCAAAAUAAUACUUUUAUACCUGUGUCUGUUAACUCUCAUUUUAUGCUAAUGAGCAUAAAAAUAAACUUAGAAGGAGUAAAAGACGUAGAACUGAGACUAGAUUUGGUCCUGAUUUUAUCACCACCUUCUUAGCUGGGGAUUUUAAUAUCGAUACUUCAAAUGAUGAAUUAGUGUCUAUCUUCUUAAUAGAAUAAGACCCUAAGACAUAUGAUGAAGAAACGAGUUCAAUAGAUGUGAUAUUUUAGAAAGAGGCUAUUAAAAGUGAAUUAGACUCUAUAGUUUGUAAUCACACAUGGGACUUGUAUGAUUUGGCUAAAGGUUGUAAAUCCAUAAGUAGUAAGUGGAUAUUCAAGAAGAAAUUGAGGCCUGAUGGUACAAUUGAUAAAUAUAAGGCUAGAUUUGUGAUUAGGGGCUUUAACCAAAAGAAAGGUGUUGAUUAUUUUGAUACUUAUUCUCUUGAGAUGAAAAUAGGGACCAUUAGAACUCUUAUUGCUCUAGCUGCUAUUCACAAUUUAGUGGUACGCCAAAUGGAUGUCAAAACUGCAUUUUUAAAUGGUGAUUUAGAGGAAGAGAUCUAUAUGACUCAACCUGAGGGUUUUGUGAUCCCAGGACAAGAGGAUAAAGUAUGCAAAUUGAGAAAGUCCUUAUAUGAACUUAAGCAGGCACCUAAGCAGUGGUAUAAAAAAUUUAAUUUCACAUUAAUAGAUAAUGGCUUUGUUGUUAAUUCAUCUGAUACCUGUGUUUAUUCUAAAAUGAUAGGAUCAGUCUGUGUGAUUAUAUGUUUAUAUGUGGAUGACAUGUUAAUCUUUGGCCCUAAAGUAAAUGUUGUAAAUGACACUAAGAAAUUUUUAUUUUCUAAAUUUGAAAUGAAAGACCUUGGAGAAGCUAAUGUGAUUUUAGGAAUAAAAAUCAAAAGAAAUGCUAAUGGUUUCUCUUUGUGUCAGUCUCAUUAUAUUGAAAAAAUAUUGAAAAGGUUUAAUUAUUUUGAUGUAGUUUCAAUGAGAACUCCUUAUGAUCGUAGCAUACACUUGAAAAAAGAAUAAAGAUUUCAGUGUUUCUCAAACUAAAUAUGCUAAAAUAAUUGGGAGUAUAAUAUUUCUCAUGAGCUAUACUCGGCCUGAUAUAGCUUAUGAUGUUAGUAGAUUGAGCAGAUAUACUCAUAAUCCUAGUAAUGAAUAGUGGCAUGCUCUUCAUCGCUUAUUAAGGUACUUGAGAGAUACUAGAGAUUGGUGUUUGUAUUUUAAUAAAUUUCCUGCUAUUUUAGAAGGUUUCUGUGAUACAAACUGGGUGACUAACAAUGAUGAAGUUAGCUCUACCAAUGGCUAUAUGUUUACUUUGGGUGCAGGUGCUAUUUCAUGAAAGUCUUCAAAGCAGACUUGUAUAGCAUGUUCUACCAUAAAAUCUAAAUUCAUUGCUCUCGAGUUGGCAGGGCAAGAAGCUGAGUGGCUGAGAAAUCUUUUGACAGAUGUUCCUUUAUGGGGAAGACAAAUGUCACCAGUCUUUUUACAUUGUGACUCACAAGCGGCAAUUGAGAUUGCUAAAAAUAGUGUAUAAAAUGGUAGAGACAUAUUCGCAUCAGACAUGGUGCAAUUAAACAAUUAUUGAAACAUGGUGUUAUUUCCUUGGAAUAUGUAAGAUCCGAAAUAAAUUUAGCGAAUCCUAUGACCAAGGGUUUGACAAGGAAAAUGGUCCUUGAAUCGUCGAGAGGGUGGAGCUAAAGCCCAUGGAUUGAGGUAAUAUGGUGGAUACCCAUUUGGGGUCAAACGAAGCCAUAUAGGCCUUCAAUAAACACUACAUAUCCUAUCCCUAUGGCGUGGGGUAGUGUAUUAUAAGGUUGAACUUAUUUUGCUCUUAAUGAUCCAUAGUCUUAAGGUGGUCUAUGAGAUGGACUUGAUGGAUCACCUACGUGAGUGUAAAAGGUUGGUCACCUUUUUAUGAAAGACUUGGGUUAUCUUUCUAGAGCACUCAUGAGACCUAAGGUUUGUGUGCAUGACCAUAAACGCACUUUGUAGUAUCGCGGAGGUUGCUUAAAAUCAAGGAUAUGGUAUGUGUUGUGGGGGUCUCAACUUAUGUCCAUCUAGUUCAAGAGUACUUCACUUUUUGGAUAUUUGUUUUUGCCUCAUAUCACUACAUGUCAAUUCAAAUCGAAAGAUAUUGACACUUAAGUACGUGUUCCUUCCUUUUGCCCAGAAUUCAUUCUUAUUCUUUAUCUUUGCAUUAGUGGGGGACUGUGGAAUUAACUCUAUAGUUAUUAAUUUAAUUAGUGUAAUACUCUACAGUUAUUAAUUUAAUUAGUGUAAUGCAAAGAUGAAUAACUUUUACGUUACAAAGGAGAUGUGAAUACAUCUAAACAUCCGUUCUAAUAGAAUUAAGUAACACGUGAAGUAAUGGUUCUUUAAUACUAUUAACUAUAACUCUUACAACUCCACUUUCAAAUACUAUAUAAAGGGUGUCUUUGGAGAAGAUAAAAACAUACCACAUAAAGAAAGAAACAAUCUUUCUCCUUUCCUCUUCCUCUUGAAUUGGUUUGGACAACCUCCAAACUUCCAGCCACGAGUGCACGUGUUUGGAAGUAGCUGUGGAACCUUGAGGAACGACCGGCUAGAAGGAUUUGCACUGGAGUCAGGCCGAAAUCGCUUUCAAGGCAGUGGCUUGCCACGACACAGUGUUUGUGACAACUUUUUUACUAUUAUUAAUUCAGUUCCAAUAUCAAUAUUGUAGUACUUUUCCCAACAAUACCUGAGGUGUAGUGCAAAAGAAUUGAUAUUUGAUAAGAUAGAGCGACAUGACUAAUAUCUUCCCAAACACCUGUACUUAGCUUAUAAAGCUCUACGUGUGGCAUUAGACGAAAAGUUGUGUGUAUAUUCUUACCACCUUGUAGUCAUUAGUAGUCCGGUCAAAUCCAAACCCUUGUGUAUGAUCCAAGGUACUCAGUGUCUUAAAUGUAUAAAUAGGUAUUGGAAGUUUUAAAGACUUUCUAAUGGACGGGUUCCAAAGAUAGAUAUGGUUCCUACAACACUCGUGAUCAUCCGCAAGACACAAAAGACCAUUACAGCUACCCACAAUAUUAAAGUAAUAGCUUGUUCGCUCAAAUGGCAAAUCAAACUGCUCGUAUUGAUCAUCAUUCUCAUUGUCACGGAACAAAGCAAACAUCUCUUCUUCCGGGUUUAUAGCGUGAUAUUGCAUUAGGAUGUAAUCGUCUUGUUUUCGGUUGAGGUGGGUGUAGAUAAAACUAGGACUAGUAAGAAGAGAGUAUCAUGACUUGCAAACGCUUGUGCAUUGAAGGAUUGAUUUGAUUGGCAGUUUUAUGAAGAUGUCAAUCAUCAACUCUUGUGACAAAUAAUCAGACAUUCUUUUUAUCCUAUAAUAGGAUCUCCUCAAGUGGUUAAAUAUCUCUUUUCUUCUUGGUUUUAUUUGUGAGAUGUGGACUGUAAUGUUGGUUCUACUUCUCUGUUGUGACUGUUCAGUUGUUCAAUAUGCUUUCAAUUUGUUUCUAACCAACAAUUUUUUCAAAGUCCAAUAUGGUACUCUCUUUCGUUCACUUUUUCUUGUCAAUUAUUCAAAAAAAAUAAUUUUUUAUUUUUAUUUGUCACUUUUUACAUAUUAAAAAGAAUAUCUUUUAAUGUUUUAUACUAUGCAUCAAUUACUUAUUCCCUAAAUUAUUUUUCAAGACAUAAUGCUAACGAAUAUAAAUCAAUAUGAUAUUAUGGUAAAAUAAUCAUAUCAAUUGUUAUUUCUUAAAAAGGUGUGCAAAGUUAGAAUUGGACAAGUAAAAAUGAACGGAUUCGAGGGAGUACGGUUGUUAGACUAGUUACUUUAUAUGAAACGAAGUGUUGGUAGCGGAGAACUCACUGAAAAUGAGUAUAAUAAAAAUGAAGAUAUUAUGAUGAAUAUGUGAAUAUACCAGAAGAAAUGGAAUUAUAAAAAGGAGAUAUGUGGUACAAGGUCAGAUUGGGCUUCUAGGUGCACAACAUGAGAGAAGCGACUAUUUGCUUCAAAUUAAUAAUCAACUCGUUUAAUUUAUUCAACACAUUUUUACCCACUAAAUUUAUAUCCAUUUAACACCUUGUAAUUGUCAAUGACCUUUAGUAGAUUGUAAUCGAAGUCGUUCUGUUGAAGCUGCGGCAGCGCCCAUAAAUAGUAUACAUGCAAUCUAUGUUGCUCGAACUUUUCAUAAAUAUCAAUAAAUAUAUUUAGAAAUCACCCAUGAUGUAUUUUAGAUUUUGGCACAACGUCGAAAAUAAGAGUAUCCGUAAUCGACACAUGUUCCACAUGCACUUUCUCAACGCUAAUUCCGCCUUCAAUCGUCCACUUUCCACCCUACUUACUUUCUAUAAUAUCUUUUCUAGAAUAUAUAUACUAAAUUAUAUGUUGAUUAUUCUAUAAUCUAAACUCUUAUUUCAAUAUUGUUUCAACAAUAAUCAAGCAUUUCAUAAAGUCAAAGUAGGUUAGUUCAGAAUCCAAUCGAAAUCAAUAAUUUGAACCAAAAGAAAGUCAUUGGUUUAUUGGUAAUGGAUUAUUAAUUUAGCAAUUUUGAUAAUGGUUUCUAUUUAUCUUUUAUAUCGGGUUAUCGAUUCUUAAUGGUUCGAGGUUUUUCCCUAACGGGUUAAUUGAUAACGUGAUAAUAAAUUAAUAUAUUAUGUUUAUACCAUUUGGUAUAUAAAGUCCUUGACUUAGGAUUUAGUUUCAUGCUUUCAUUUUCCUUGACAUGUCUCACACUUUUCGGUUAUUCUACAAGGUGUCAGUGUUUGCUUUUUAGCAAGAUGGAAUCUGUCAACUCGUGUAUGGCUCAUUUAGUUUGUCAGCUUGUUUCUAAGUGUUUUUCAAUGAUUUAUUUUUGCGAAAUCUUAACGGCUAAAUCGAUUAUCAAACGAUGACGAUCAAUAACUGAUAAAUAGAUAUCAUAAUGGUUCUAUAUAUAAUGGUUUAACAUGUCUACAAAAUAAUAACCGAUAAAUCAAACUGAUAAACUUCAAAAGCGAACCAAAUCGAUGAUACUCAACCCUAAGUCAAAGCACUUAAACUUUUCUAAUUGCUCAAGCAAUCAUAUUAAUGUCAACUACGUUACAUGUACAUGUGUAGUGUUAAGUGACAGCUUCUUAUCAACAGUAAACGCCCAUAAGAAUAUAAAUUUUUAUUCCCACUUGCAUCCUAUGUUGCUGUUAUGUGUGGCAAGAGAAAAGACAAGUCGGUGCACAUAUAUAUUAUUUUCUAUGUAGGAGACAAUUUGGGUAACGGAGAAAGAGGAGGAAUUAAUGAAAUAUUUAUUUAUAAAAUGUACUAGUCUAUAUAAGCCAAAGUUGAGAUACUGAUCAAUGGUGCAUUGCAACAGCUUUAUAUUGUUGUAACUAAAGAAAGAAAAAGAAAACUAAGGUUCAUCAACAGCUUUGAAGAUGACAACGGUAAUCACCAUCUCUUCUAUCUUUAAUGUUUGUCUAAUUAAUCUUUGAUUUGAUCAUAACGAAAAUUUUUAGACCAAUUUUAUGUGGCUUAAUUAUUUCUAAUGCUAUAUUUUGGUUGAGUACAGAUGACUGAGAUGAGAGUACAUAUGGAUUGUGCUGGAUGCGAGAGUAAAGUUAGAAAAUCUCUCGAGAAAGUUAAAGGUAAUAACGUAAUAUACUUCUUAGAAUUGAGACGGAAUAUAUUAAGAUUAUUAGUUUAUAAAUUAUGAAUUACAUUUUUUUUUUUUUUUGCUUACCAAAUUCUGAAUAUAUGUGAUUUGUACAUGUUACAUAAUCUUUUUAACAUAAAGAAGUACAAAGUUUGAAUCAAAAUUAUUGAAAUCCACAAAACUCGUAACUACUACAAUAUAUGUUUCAUACCCUACCUUAGAAAAAUGAUGAUUUAAAUUAUUUUAGUACUAUAUAUAUCACUGAUCAGUUUACAUAUUGUAGCAAGUUAUAGCAGGUACCUUGUCUUAAUAUUUUAGCCUGAUACUAUUAAAAGUAAAAUUUGUACUGUCAUGGGAAAUAUAAUUUAAGUAUUAAACUCAGAAUGACAAAAUUCAAAUUAGUUUGUUAAACUAAGUAUCUAAUUUUGUAACUUUUUUUUAUGUAUAUUUCAGGUGUUGAUAAUGUAGAAAUAGAUAUGGCCAUGCAAAAAGUGACAGUAACAGGAUGGGCAGACCAAAAGAAAAUACUCAAAACAGUAAGAAGAACUGGUAAACGAGCUGAGAUAUGGCAGUUUCCUCACAAUCCUGCCAUGAGAAAUAAUAACCCUAAUCAUGUCACUGAUUAUUAUUAUCAGCAGCAAGGUUGUGGUGGCCCGUCCACUUAUUACAGCGGAGAGCCACCAGCCUCCGCCUAUAACUAUCGUAAGCACGGCUAUGAUAACUAUGGCCGUGCUUAUAGUCUUUAUAGGGGCAACUCGAACACGUUUGGUAGUCGUGCUGGUGAUGCAUUUAGUGAUGAGAAUCCCCAUGGUUGUAAAAUUAUGUGAGUGUUAUUGGUUUAAAUAAAUGCACCUUUUUGGUGUUUUAAUUUUUGUUGAAUUCUAUAUAUAGAUUAAAUUAUCAAAGUGUAAAUGCAUUAUAUGUGUGUAAGCUUUUUAAGUAGUAAUAUUUUUAAAAGGAUAAUAGCCAUGAAAAUAUCUGAACUUUAACCAAAAUUUUAGUGGAGCAUAUUCAACUUUGCGGGGGUCCUAUUACCCCUAUACUUUUUUAAUCGGAAUUAAUCCCCCCGGGGAAUUUUUUUAAAGUGGAAUUAAUCCCCCAAAACGUAUACCCAGUUUUUUAGGUGGAAAGUGUGGUACACGCUCGUUGUCUUCUCCAUUUUAUCACUUUUCAACAUUUUUUCACCAUUACAACCAUAUUAAAGAUUCCACAACUCAAAUUCAUCCUACAAAUCAAAUUUCAAAUAAUUUCAUUGAGUCAAUUUCAAAUUCCAAGUCCAUUCUUAUCACACAAGUUUCCAAAUUCAAUUUCUAGUUUCAAACUUUGAAUUCCGUUGAGUUUAAUCGAAAAUUUUCUUGCACAUUGAAUUUAUAUAAUAAGAACAGUGAAAUUAUGGUUUUUAAAUUUAAUUGAAAAUAGCAAGAAGGUAUUAAGAACUAAUAAACCUACGCAUUGAAUAUAGCAAAGUUAGAAUAAAAUACUACACAGAAAUUGCUAAAACUUCAAUAGGAUAAAAUAAUAAACUACACAAAUUAAUGAAUACAUCUUACGAAAAGAAUAAAUCAUUAAAACCAACAAUAAAAAAUAUUUUUACUAGGAAAAAGGAUGAAUAUUAUGUAGUAUGUCAAAAAGAACAUGUAAUAGACUGCAGAUAUGCAAAAGGAAAAGCUAGUAUACCAUUAGUAACAAAAAGAAUAAUUAAUAAAGAAAUAAAUGAUAUAAAAAGUAAAGGAGAUCCAAUAAAAUAUGUACACCUUGGAGGUACAGAGAUAUUAAUAAAAGCAUGUUUUAGAGAAGGAAUAGAUACACCAAUAGAAUUAUAUUUAGCAGACGAUAGAAUUAUAAAACCUAUAGAAAAAAGCAUAAUAACUGCCGUAAAAGGAAAUCUAAUAUACCAAAAAUUUAAAUUUAUAAUAAGUGCAAAUUAUUCAGUAGCAGUAACAGAUAGGAAUAUAGAUAAAUCAUUAGUAUUAUAUUGGAAAAUAUCAGGAAUAGAAUUAACCCCAGGAAGUAAAAUAUUUACAGCAAGAUGCAAAAAUUUAUAUGUAUUAACAACAAAACAUAAAAUAACAGGAAAAAUAAGAUUAACAAAAUACGAAUAGAAAGUCCAUUCGAACAAUCAGUAAAAACAAUAGAUUAUAAUGAUUAUAGCUAUAGAGACAUAGAUAUAGAAGAAAAUUUAGAAAUAAUAAAUGAUAGAAUAAGUACAACGGAAAGAAUAGUUGAUGAAAAACCAGAAUCAUCAAAUUCAUCAAAAAGAACAAGUUAUGAAAUAAAUUCAACAAAUAAUUUAAAUCAAUAUUACAUAACAGGAAAGGUAAAUGAAAAAGAAUAUUUAAUACUCUUAAAUACAGGACAAGAAGAAAAUUAUAUAGCAAAAUAUCUAGUAAAAAAUGAAGAAAUAAAAACUGAUAAUGAUAUAUGCCCAGAUCUACCAAGAAGUUUAAUAAAUAGUAAAAAUAUAGCAGAAAAAGAAAUAAUAAUAGGAAUUAGAAAAAUAAAAAUAGAAUUUGAAGUAAAGGAAGAAAUGCAAAAAACAGACAUAAUAUUAGGAAUAAAAUGGCUAGAACAAGUAAAACCAUAAAAUAUAGAACAUACACAAUUAACCUUAACAUAUAACAGAGAGAAAAUAUUCUUAAGAAGAGCCUUACCAUAAAAUGAAAAUAUAUGUAUUAAUGAAGAUAGUAGUAGAAGGAUAUUAUAGUAGAUAUUAUACGCCUAUGAUAGAUACAGGAGCAGAAGCUAAUUUAUGUAGAUAUAAUUGCUUACCAGAAAGCAAAUGGGAUAAACUAAAAACACCAAUAAUAGUUAAAGGAUUUAAUAAUGAAGGAAGCUUAAUUACUUAUAAAGCUAGGAAUGUAAAAAUACAAGUAUGGGAUAAGAUAUUAACAAUAGAAGAAAUUUAUAACUAUGAAUUAACAUCAAAAGAUAUACUUUUAGGAAUGCCAUUCUUAGAUAAAUUAUACCCACAUAUAAUAACCAAAACAGACUGGUGGUUUACAACACCAUGCAAACAAAAAGUAAGAGCAAAAAGAGUUAAUAAUAAAAUAAGAAAGAAAACUGAUUGGAUAAAAGGAAGUGAAAAAAUUACACAAAAGUUAGAAAAUAUAAAAAAUACUGAAGAUACAGUAGAACUAGUAGUAUUUUCGAUAAAUAAAACAGAAAUAACUAUAUUUUCAAUAAAUAAAAUAGAAAUAAUUCAGAAAAAAUUAGAACAAUUAUAUAGUGAAGAUCCAUUAAAAGGAUGGGAAAAACACAAAACUACUAUAAAAAUUGAAUUAAUAGAUAAGAAUAGCAUAAUAACACAAAAACCAUUAACAUAUAAUUUUGAUGAUUUAAAAGAAUUUAAAAUGCACAUAGAUGAAUUAUUAGAAAAACAAUAUAUACAAAAAAGUAAUAGUAAACAUAAUAGUCCAGCAUUUAUAGUAAAUAAACAUAGUGAACAAAAAAGAGGAAAAAGUAGGAUGGUUAUUGACUAUAGAAAUUUAAAUGCAAAAACUAUAACAUAUAAUUAUCCGAUACCAAAUAAGAUAUUAAAAAUAAGACAAAUCCAAGGAUAUAAUUAUUUUAGCAAAUUUGAUUGUAAAUCAGGAUUUUACCACCUAAAGCUAGAAGAAGAAUCUAAAGAAUUAACCGCAUUUACGGUACCACAAGGAUUUUAUGAAUGGAACGUGUUACCAUUUGGAUAUAAAAAUGCACCAGGUAGAUAUCAACAUUUUAUGGAUAAUUAUUUUAAACAAUUAUCUAAUUGUAUAGUAUACAUAGAUGAUAUAUUAUUAUACACCAAAACCAAAGAAGAACAUUUAAAAUUAUUAGAACAAUUCACAGAUAUAAUAGAAAAAUCAGGAAUAAGUCUAAGCAAAAAGAAAGCUGAAAUUAUGAAAAACCAGAUAGAAUUUUUAGGAAUACAAAUAGAUAAAAGUGGAGUAAAAAUGCAA